This 13554-nucleotide long non-coding RNA is filed under the name Citrus sinensis (sweet orange). RNAcentral describes it as "long non-coding RNA (CSIN_LNC002849)". The record is from RNAcentral. Lineage: Eukaryota; Viridiplantae; Streptophyta; Magnoliopsida; Sapindales; Rutaceae.
UCAAACUCGCAUAAAUUGUCUGGAACAAUGAGAUAUGAAUACAUAAACAAUCUUUCAUUUUCUUAAUUACACUUGAGAGAGUAAUUGGAGUCAUAGGAGUUAGCGCUGUACUUUCCUUAAUCUGUCACAACAAUCUUUUCCAUGCAGAGCAGGACGGAUUGAGUUUUGACUAACUCCAAAGCUCAACUUUUCUUUGCAGCUCACAUACUCGAUGGUGCCGCCCAUGUUCCUGACUCAAUAUUACAAUUGAAAACAAAGUCUUCAUGUCACUCGCAUUUACAUACUCUUGAUAGUCUUCUUCCCCACCUUCAGGUUUACCAAUAACAACAACAAUAAUAAUUGGAAGUUGAACUUGAAAAUGUCUUAAAUAAAAUAAAUCGAACAUGAUCUUCUGUACGACAAAUUCACAUGAAGCAUUAUACAAAAGCUUUUCAAUGAGUUGACAACAAAAUUAAACCAAAAAAGAACAAGAAAAAGAAAAAAAUGUUUUGAGUAGAGAAGAUUAUAAUUCAUUCCUUCAAUAACUUGAAAGGAUAGACAGGCAUUAAUUGUCUCCUCAUGAACAGAGGCACCAAAAAUUCACAGAAAUUAUCUUCACAUUCUGCAUGUUGACCCAUAAUUUCUAACAAAAAGAAAUACGUAUAUGGUUGAAGUGGUAUCAUAGGUCAUGGAUUAAAUGCUUCUAGGACUAUCUGUAUAAAGGUAGAACAUUUUAAAGGAUGAAUGAUGAAAGCUAUCUAGAGCUGGUCCAUCACAACUAAAUUGGCAGUGGGGCUGGACCUCAAGAUAAGCAAAACCAAGUCCAUUUUAAGCUCAAACCUUAAUUUCUGCACAGAGGUAGCUUUCCAGAUAAAUGUUUCUAAACAUUUUCCUCUUUCUAUUUUCCAGAUAAAGAUGGUAAAAAUUACCAAUUUUUUUCUGUAGGCCUUUUUCUCUUUUGCAAAACUUUUAUGUUUCUUCAAAGUUGUUUUGCAAGAGGGGGUCCUUUUGGCUGCUUGAUUCUAAGCUUCUUACUCCAGUUUCCACACCUGAGUUCCCUUCUUUGGCUUUUCCCCACAUCACAGAAUAAAAACCAGUAACAAUUACAGCUGCUCCAAUAAAUCUGCAUUACAUUAAAAAUGGAAUGGUCACUUUCUUAUAAUAGAAGAGGAGGAGAAAAUCAGGACAGGAAAUAAGAGAAAUCUGACCAGUAACAUGAUCAAACAAAACUUCUUAUACAAGUCAAAACACCACCCAAAAUUAAAAAAAGGUACCUCCCAAGAUAGACCGUCUCUCCUAGGAAGAUGGUGCCAACCGCAGCUGAAAUUAUAACACCCAAGGGCUUGAACAUAGCUACAAAUACAGGCCCAGUCCUGUGCAGGCACCAGGUACAAACACCAACUUGGAAUGCAGAGCCAAAAACAGCCUGCAUUUUCCAUAUUAAGGUUUCAAGACAAAAAGUGAAUAUAAUUUAAGCAUGUACACAAACAUGCUUUUUCUUCUUACUUCUACUUACCGAGUAUAGCACAGCAACUAACCUCACACCAGGUUUUAAGCUCCAGCUGCUUAGGUCUCUUUCCAUAACCAAACAGAAUAUUGCAGAUUGAAUGGCCACAAAGAAGCAGUAAAAAAAGACUACGAUGAACUCAGCUGAGAAUUUCUUAAGGAUUGAAGCCUGAAAUGUACGAAAAAUAAGUCAAUCUUAUAACUGGUUCUCACUCUUGCUAUUUCUUAAGAAUCUAACCUGUACAAUAAGCCAUGCUGAAGUGAACACACAAUCUACGGCAAGGAGCAAUCCACCAACGACCCAGUUUGUUUGCGGCACGAAAAAUUGAAGGGACAAGUUUGGUGGCAAAGAUGUCAUCAGAAGGUGGGUUCCUUUAUAGUAUGUCAUGAUAAAUGCCCCUGUAAUUAACACAAUGGUUCCCACUGAUUUGGCCAGGCUACUGGAGCUUCUCCAAUCUAGUUUUUCCAUCCUGAAAUCACCAAGUUGAAUCAUUUUAUAUCCAUCGGUAGCAAUAAAAAUAUCACUCUACGCAACUUAGGAGUCUGUUACUCUUCCAAAGUUUUCUACCAUAUGCUUAGCACAUUCAUUAAUUAAAACAUGAGUUAAAACUUUUUGAGAUAGAAAAGUCUGACCGAGAAAGGAAACUAAAAGGAGCUCAACCAUCCAGUCACUGAAGAACUCUUCAGAUGAUAUGACUAUCAGAGGAGCUCAAAUGAGAAAACGCCAAAAGAUGUGAUUUUGGGCAACAAAAGAAUCCACUAAAUUAGGAGUAACAUUAUGACCACAAACUAUUUUUGUACAAAUUAAUGUGGCACUACAUGACUGUUUGAAUGAAAAUAUAGAAUAAUAAAAAUAAUUAAUGUAGGCCAUGUGGUGAUUUUAUUCAACGAAUCAUGUUAUGCUGCAUCAAUUUGUAAAAAAAUUGAUGGUAAAAGAGUUUGUAGUUGUGUCAUUGUUUCUAAAUUAUUAGCAACACAGAAGAAGUCACUAAAUUAUUAGCAACGCAAAACUAACUCCUCUUAAAUAAUAUCCUUUAAGUCCAUCUUAAGGAAAGAAACUAUAAUGCCUACAAGCCAGUAUUUUGAAGACAACAAUAUCAGCCGAGUUGGCACCAAUCAAUUAUCAAUAAUUCAGUCAUGAGUCUCAUGACCAUAACUAAAUAGUAAUUACAAAGUCAACGUCAGCCUCUAAUGCACAGACAGACCUAUUAUAUUUCAUCAGCCGAGGCUGCAGAUCAAAUAAUUCUCCUCGAUGUUAUUACAUUCCCAAAUUUGCAAUAGAAGGGAGAAGGCCGCGAAACUUUAAAAGCCAGACCCACCUGCAUUGCCACUUUAAUUCUACAGCAAGCAAAUCUCUUGCAACAGACUUAAGGAAUGGAAGACAUCACAUAUCAUGGUUCCUUUAAGUUCAGUGCCGAAUUGAUUAUAACUCUUUGGUGCAGAUUAUCCACACAUGCAUUUUUCAUUUUAAUAAACUGGGAGGGGGCAUGUACCACAUCCACAGUGUAGUAAGAUAAACAGGAACGGAGAAGAGGUGUGUUAACAGAAUAGUUGGAGGAUUUUGAUGUUCUAGAACAUUGUAGGUAAAGCUUGGGUCAGAAUCAGAACAAGAGCUUUGAGUAUCUUCUCCCUUAAGGGCAUAUUGUCUGAGCUGCAAGACCAACAUAGUGAUUUCAGCUUAUCUGUGACCUCAUACUCAUCAGCUCCUUGUUAAUAGCUUAAAAGGCAUACUGCCACUUCAGCAAUAACAUUAAAUCUGUCUAAUUUUCAGCAGCUCUUUUGAAAUUCCUUCUCUAACUCUAAACUGCAGUCACUGAUUGAGUGGGUUCCAGAUCAAGUAUUGAUGUCUGAAGGAAUGAAUAAUUAAGGAGGGAAAGACAGGAACCUAUCUGUCCCUGCAUGGUGGAUUAAUUACAAAUAGCUUACUACCUAAUCCAGGAAUCAGACUGGAUAAUCAUUAUUUUGUAACUGGAAUACACUCUUAGCAAAUUUUCAGCAGUAUGCCUAUUAUGUAAUUGCAAGCCUGUAAUUGGGACUCACAAAACUUAAUUAUGCAAUUUAAGUACGGAAUCAGACACUCAUACAAAUGAAGAGAAAGAGAACUGAUUAUAUUAUUGGUUGCAAUUAAUUAGCAUCAGUAACAUAAACUUCCCAAACGGACUCCAAUGAACAAAAUCAAAAGAAAGUCAAAAUGAUCAUAGCAAAGGGGGGAGCAUUACCUGAAAAUGAUGGCAAGAAUGAAGGUAAAACCCGGAACAAGAUUAAGCAUAGCGGUGGAAAGUGUAGGUGAGCUAUAGUAAAUCCCAGCGUUACCAAAAAACUGAGACGAAGUACUGCUUGAAGUAAAAUAAAACAACAAACCCUUUAACAAACAACAUCUUUGAUUAUUAAUUUUCUUGCUGUAUGUGAAUGAGUAAAAGCAAGAAAAUUUAUUAUAAUCAAACAAAAAGAAACCAACCACAAGGUCAAAGAAGUAAAACUUAGCAUACCCUAGAAAGCCAAGUAGGAAGAAAGCAGAUAGAAUAGGCAAAGUGAGUGGAGGAAUUCGUGAUCUGCAUAGAGAUGAUGAAUUGAUUAAAACAUGAGAAGCUUUGAUAUUUGAGAUUAACGAAGGGUAAGUAACCUGUGGAAGAGAAGUGAAGCGGGGAGGAGAACGAGAGAGGCGAAUGCUUUGGAGUAAAAAACGAAGACCAGGUUGCUCAUCCCAUCAGACAUGGCUGCUUUGCCGGCAAACAUCAGCCCAACUUGAGCGCACUCUGCCAUCACCAUCCCAAUAACUGGCGCUAAACCAACUUUUCCCAUCUCUUCUCUCGCUCCGAUUGCCAGUACGGGCUCUGGAAUUUGGGGCAGAAAGAUUACUUUCUUGAUGACACGUAUCAAAUGUUUACUCGAUAUUCUAAGCCAUCAUCAUAUUCUUUUCUGUAGGUAGAUACUUUGAAAUUCUGUAGCGAAUCAAGUAGUCAUCUAAACAGAUACUGCAUGGGAAGGUAUAUUCAACGGAAGAAGAAAUCAAAUUAUUAUUUUUUUUCGGUGUAUUAAUCCAGACAUCAAUACUUGAAUCAGUCGAUAGCUUUGCCGCCCUAGUGUCCAGCUCAAUUUGUGAGGGGAUGUAUCUUACAUUAAAUGUAAGAUAAAGAAAUCUUUUAUGUAGAAGAAUGAAGAUCAUCAUGCUUGCAUUAUCACCUGCUCUAAAUUAUUGAAUCUUGAAAAGUUUGACAUCCAACUCACUGACUUUGCUAGUCCUAUCAGCUGCAUGUUGAUAUUCAUUCUUGUACGUAAAUAUAAUUACUAAUCAAGGAUUGAUCAUUGACUUUUAAGUAGGUUGCAGGGCUAGCUGUGUAACCCGUCGGAUUCUCUUUAUUAAUAGUUAUGGUCAUUGUUAGUAAGAAAAUAAGAAGUGUCAUUUCUUUUGAUUGGGUUAUUAAGGGAUUUUGGGGAUUGAUUUUAGGCUUUUUUAAUUUGUUAGAGUUACUAAGAAUUUCCUAAUAUUACAUUUAUUAAUUACAUAAGACAUGUGUGCUUGUAUUAUUACUUACAUUUGUUACGUAUUUAUUAUUUGGGUUCGAUUAUAUUGGAACUGCUCUAAGGUAUAAUAUUUUUUUAUAAUCACACGAUUAAAGUUAUAAUUUUUUUUUUAUUAUUUAUCACUUUGCGUGUGUGACUGAGAUUCGUACUCCAUCAUACAUCAACUCCAACAUAACCAUAACCUUAUUAUUUACAUUUAUCAUAAAAGCUUGUAUUAAUUUUUACCACGCGAAAAUUACAAGCUAUCGACUAAUCUGUUAUUUACAUGAUUUCUCUUUAUAGAAAUAUUAUGGUAUCCGAGGAAUUGCCUCUGGAAGUGGGAAAUUAACAUAAUAUUUUUUUCUUUUGUUUUUUUUCCAAUACAUAUCACUUCAAUUACCGAGCUUUUCUAUUUCCCCAAAAGACAGUGUGGCGAGAUGCAAAAAUUCGUCAAAGGCAUAGAAAUUAUGGAACCAGCACUUUAAUUUUACACAGAAUCAUUUUAUUAUAGAUAUCGUGCAGUAGUUUAAUUUUACACAGAAUCAUUUACAACAUUAGACAUCGCAUUAAAUCCUUGGGCUACCUUCUGCAUUUGUGCUGGCUAUAAAUUUAACCCACCGGCUUGUGGCAACGGCAAACCGUUGACCCCCUCUAACCUAACUUUCUUAGAUUUUUUUUAAUAAAUAAAUGAUAAAUUAUGAUGAGGGGUCUUAUGCAACUUCACUCGUCUAAAUAAUAAAGAAAUUAUUGAAAUAAGUAAAUGAGAAAUUAUUUUACAAAUUUGAAGGACUUUUUUUUUUUAAUUCUGUUAUAUACAGAUUGUUACUGAUAUUACAUCAGACAUUACAAUUACAAUACAUCAGAUAUUACAAUUACAAUAUUUACAAUUGUAUCAAAUAAUAUAAUGCUCCACUCACAUUUCGUAAGAGAGAAAUUAUCUUCACUCAAUUAGUUGAUAAUUGAGAGAGUACUGAAACUAACUUCCAUAAUGCUCUGAUGGAGGCUCGAAUCCUUACACUCAAUAUUAUAAGUGCAAAACUUCUCCUAUUGGACCAAAUGCUCAUUCGUACUAAUUUGAGGGACUUAAAAACAUAGUAUUUGACCAAAAUUUUGUGAGUGUUGUGGCCUCAAUAGAAGUUGAGAAAGUCUUAGAUGGUAGGGACUCCACCACAUCAUCACAUCAUCAUCUAAUUACAUACCACCACAUGCAUAUACGUAAUGUACUAUGGUUAUUUUAAAUUUAGUGAUAAGUGUAUAUGUGGUGUCAUCCAAUUGGAUGGUAAGGUGACGAUAUGGUGGCAUGAUAUCAGUAUCACUCAAGACUUUCACAUUUUAUAAAUUUAUAUGAAAACUUUCAACCACGAAAGAAACAACCAAAUAUAUAUAUAUACAUAACAUGGUUGUUGGAGACUAAGAGUGGAGGAGUGUUUUAUAGAUUUAUAAUAUUGGUAUCAAUAUAAAUAGUUGAAAAUUAUAAAUAAAUAAUAUUAAAUAUCUUAAAUUUUAUCUUAAAACUAGGAAAUAGAAUCGCACUUCACGCAACUUUGAAAAAAGAAUUUAUUAUUCUCUUUUUUUCCUCAUUCUACUUUUAAUGAUUUAUUCUAUUUGAUUAAGAGGCAAGACUUCCAAAAAAGAUGAAAAAAAUAAAGUAAAGCUAAAAUCAAAAAAACUUUUUUAAUUAUUAAAAUUGCAUCAGCUAAAUUAACACGGUAGAAAUAGAAGUGCCAUAAAUGCACCUUGUCUAAGUCAAAACCUUGGAAAUUUGAGGUUGAUAUAUCACCGCAAGGCCACCUGGAGAAGGAGCAGAAAAUGUAUCACAAUAGCCUCUCAGUAUGUUUCCUUCUUCAGCAGUGAAUCCGAGAGAGGUGAGCAUUGCAAGCCAGCAAUUAUAGGUGAUGAUAUCAAUGGCGUGGCAACAGUCAGGGCUAAUAUCAGCCUAGCUAUUAAAGAAGAAUAUAACGAUCUCAUUUGAGUAUGAUUUCAGCUCCAUUAACGUGGUCCAGCACUCCGUUAGGCCUCCACUAGCUUCAAGUCUUGUUGCAAGAUCGUAGCAUGGUUUCAUAUUAUUGUUGAGGCGAUCACUCAUGCUGGUUGCAUUUGUAAUAUUUGCCAUGAUCAGGCAAGUGAGGGCCAAAAUGAAAAACACAUGUUUUAGAGCCAUUGCUAUUUUCUGUUCUUUUAUGUUGUGUUUAUGUGGGAUAUCAUAUUUUUUGUUGCUAUUUAUAAAUUAAGGUGAGGUAGAGGAGAAGAGUGAUUAAAAAUGUUUAUAAAUUAUUGCUUAAUUUAUGAUCAAGAAGGUUUCAAUUAGAGAAAAUAAUGAGUCUUUUGAUAAACUGUUACAUAUCGAUUGUGUAAUAACAGUCAAAUUAAUUAUGAGAAGAUGAAAAGCCAAAUUUGAAAGAAAAUUUCUCUAUUUGUUAGAUAAUAGAGAAUAUACAAAUAUGAGAAAUGGUGAUGUCACAUCACCUCUUGUAGUCCCAGCUUUAUAUAUAUAUAUGUGACGUUGAUUUAAUAAAUAGUGAGAUUGUGUGAUACUUCACUUAAAACUUACAAAAAUUUAUCUUCUACCUAAUGAGAGACAAAUCACAUAUCAAAAUGAAAAUUUGAGUUCAAAAUUUCUAAUUCAUCCUCUGUUAAAAUUCUAAGGUGUUUGGCAGAGCGGUUGUACGUAGCAAGUAACAGCUAGCUGAGAGAGAGAGAGAGAAAAAAAAAAAGAGAAAAAUUUCAUUCAAUCACAAUUCACAAAGAUUAAAAUAUGUACAUCAAGAGGACCUUGCACAAACCAAAAAAACCUGCUGCAAAAUCCUUCAAUGUUAUUCUUUCAUUUCUCUCACCCAAAUAUCUACAAUUGAACACACCAAUCUUCCCAAACUCUAAAAUUUUUGGUCGAUACACAGGUGGUACGCAUGUUUCUUCCGUAUCAUACAACAGGGCUUGAUGAAUCUCCCUCAACUCAAGCCAACUAGAAAGUGAAAAAACAAGCUAAUCAAUAAUAGUUAAGGAACGUAUUAGAUUAUUUAAUAAAUUCUGGUGCAUGUCAAAAUUUUAAUAUAUAUAUGUAGCAGAUCGAAUUUUAUACUUACUCGAAAAAGCAGCUUGAAUAAAGUUUUGCUUUGAGCAUGUUCAAAUUGCAGAGAGCUUCUUCAGACUUGCGAAUCUUCUUGCAAGAGAGGGACCUUUUGAUCGUCAGCAGCAUCUUUAGAAUUAUGGCCUUUACGCAGUAAUUCAUCCUCUCUGAUAUUUCCCCACGUUACAGUAUAGUAGCCCAUUCCGGUUAUAACUGCUCCUAUCACACUGUACAUGCAUGCAUUUCACUUCAUCUGUUAAUUGGAGGGAUUAAUUUGUUUGACACCCAACAAGAUUAAGAAUAACCAUCAUGUGCCAAAUGGUUGUGGCUCAGUUGACAGCGCAGGCUGAGUUUGUGGGAAGAACUCUCGGGUUUGAUCCCCACUAAACACACCAUUUGGAAGGGGUAAAGAGUCUUAACUGUGACUACACCUCGAAUCCGGAUUAGUUGAGGCCCAAUGCGGUCGCAGGACACCGGAUGGUUUACAAAAAAAAAAAAAGAAUAACCAUUAUGUAUAUGGCUAUCUUUAGUAAUUUUUUUAAAUUAUGAAAGAAUUAAACUUAAUUUUAUUUUAUUUAAAUAAUUCAUUCAGUAAAUAAUACAACAUGUUAUAUAUGUGCUGAAAAUAUAUGUAUACUCGUGUUCCAUAUAUAACAUUUUCUGACAUGUCAUCUGCUUGAUAAAUUAUAAACGAUAUGCUAUAUUAAGUAUUACCUUCCAUAAUGGAGAGAAUUUGUAAAGAAGGUUAAACCGAAAGCUGUGGCAAAAACAAUUCCAAAUGGUUUGAACAUGGGCACGUAAAGAUGGCCUUUCAUUUCGGCACACGAGACAUGGACGGUGCUACGAAUGACACUCCCAAAAAUUGCCUGUAACGAUUAACAAACCAUAUGUGUCUUUAAAAAUAAGGGAAUUAAUUAAGUUCAUAUUAUCUAUAUAUAGCCAUUUUCUAAUAUAGGCGUCCUUUUUUUUUAAUUUAUUCGGACACAUUUUAAGCUGUGUAGUUUAAUAGAUUUAGAUUUUAAUGCUAUUAAACCACAUGACUUAAUAACAUGUUCAUAUUUAAAAAAAAAAAAAAAGAGGUGCUCACACUAAUAUCUUUGGAGUGAUUGGUUUAAUUUUGGUAAUUAUAUUUGAAUCACUUACUGUUAUAAUAAUGAGGAGAAGCUCCAUGUUUAGCUUUAAUUUCCAAGCAUUGAUGUUUCUCUCCAUAAUCAGCGAGAAAAUUGAACACUGAAUAGUCCCAGCCAAGCUAUAAAAAGAGACCACUUUCAUCACUUGGGGAUACUGUUUGAUAGUUCCCACCUGACCAAAUUAAUUCGAAUUACACAAUUAAAUUCAGUGCGCUUUUGUCUCUGUGGUCGAUUUUAACGAGAAUGAAUUGAUCAUAAGAUCAAUGAAAUAUGAUAUUAAUUAAUAAUUUUACCUGAAUAAUGUUCCAUACGCAGACAGAUAAAGAAGAAGCCGCAAGCAAAGUGGAACCAAGGACCCAACGGUCUGGUGUUGAGUAGAAAAUGAGGAGUGGUGGAUUAAUUUUUGCUUCAAGUUUAUCAUCAGAAGCAGCUUUUCUCAUGGAUGGGCCUUUGUACACCUGUACAAAUAUAGCCCCCAUGAUCGAUAUCAAGGUGCCAAUUACUUUGACUCGGAUGCUUGAGCUUCUCCAAUCUAGUUUUGUUGUCCUGGGAUUUACGUUAUUAUUAUUAUCAUUAUUGGAGUUACAACCAUACUCUACAUGUCCAAAUAUCAUAUGGUAGUCCAAAUAUAUUUAUGAUGGUCGCUUCGGACUCAACUCUAUUGAGUCCACACAUAGCCAAGUUGACAUCUAUAAUUAAAGCUAAGCCCAAAACAGGAGAACUAUAUAGUAUAUAUAAAUAUUAAAUUGUUCCAAUAGGUGGUCUAAAACGCCACUAGAAAUGGCCCAUGGUGCCGAUAUUUUAUAUGUUCAGCAAGAAUUUUUUUCGGAUCUGGAUUUUAAUAUAUACGAGCAAAAUAAUACAAGUAAGUGAUGUUAAAAUAAAUAUAGUGCAACAGAGAAAUAGAUUUGGAUCAUGCAUAGAUGGUACGUAGUUAGUGUAUUCAUGUAAAAAAUUCAUCAAAACAAAGAUAUGUUAUCAAGAUCUCAAAUUGGUUGAUAUCAUCCCGUGCUCAUGAUGAUUUGAGAAAAAGAAUAAUUAAUUCAGAGGAAAUGUAUGUAUGUAUGUAAAUGAAGCUAAAGAGAAAAACCUAGUGAUGAUCGAAAGCAAGAAGGAGAUAGCAGGGAUCAAAAGGCCCAUCACGCACACAACGAUAGGCGAACUAUAAUACAAGCCGAAGAAUGCAAGGUUCUGAGAAAUAGCUACCCUGCAGCAAAAACAUAUAUUAAGGCAGAAAGUAAUUAAUUAGAACGAAAUAUGUAUCCAUCAGUAGCAGUGUUAAAGAAUUAAAACGAAACAAAAUUAAGGGAGGCUAUGAAAUAUACAAACCCGGUUAGGCCCAAGAAGAAGAAGCGCAGCAUAAGAGGUAAGGUGAAGAGUGGCUGCUCUAUUCUGCAGCAAGCAAAAUUAAUUUAAAAAGAUUAAUGGCAGACGAUCGACGAUAUUUAUAUUAAUAUAAUGAAAUAUUAUUAAAUUAAAUUUAUUGUUAUGUUGUACAUGGAACAUGAAGAAUUAAAAAGGAGAAAGAGGGGUGAUUAUUGUGUAACAACCUCCCCCCAGCCGCAGCCUCAGACCCGCGGUGAUGAAAGAAGAAGGAACAAGGAAGAAGAAGAAUGGAUCCAAGAGCAUUUGUGUAGGCAAUAAAAACAAAAGGGCUCAUUCCUCCAUUCAUGGCCGUUUUGGUCAAUAUAGUAAGCCCUAUUGUACAACCUUCCAUUAUCACCAUCAAUGUAAAUGGCACCAUUUCCUCCUCCAUUUGUCCUCUCACUAGUCCCAUCAUAUAUAAUUCGAUCGUAUGUGUCUCUGUUAUCUUUCACUCUUUAAUUAAUUUGUCUAAUGAAGCAUGUACAACAAGCUAUCUCUCUCGUAUAUAUUUAUGAGUGAAGGAAUUGAUCUAGCUAGGAGCCUGCUGAUGACUAGCUGACUGCUGAUAUAAUUUACAGUCAAAAAAUAAUGCACCAACUAAGAGCUUCCACAAUGAGAAUUGGAGAAUGACAGAGAGAGAUAGCCUUUCAGAAAGUUGUGAAGCUACUUUGUCUUUGUACGAGAAAUAGCUACUCGAUUUAGUGACUCAAUCUUUAUGCAAAGGGAGAAUAAGCCGACGUGGUUUGGUAAAAAAAUAUUAAAACUUAAGCAAUUAAUUAGAGAUUAAUAAUAAUGUGACGUGAAUGUUUUCAUCUGAUUUGUCCUUGCCCUUAAUCGUGAAUAUUUUUACUAUAUUUGGUCAUGUUCAAGACUAAUUAAAUUAAGUGCGGGGCCAGUAUAUGCAUGUUUUGUACUUUCUUGAGGGACGAUUUGUGGUGGACAUUAACAAUGUCCCUACCCUCAUCGAUUAUUUUGAAAGGUCUUGGCCCCCCACUCAACUUUUGUUUUGUAUUAGUGCUGAUACGCAAGCCUUCUUUUCUUUUUGAUACUUGAUGCCGGACACAGUGAAGUGUGCAUAGAUGGAAUCACACACAGCCCCGUGUGCUGGACCCAUAAUUUGUUGCAUUAAUUAAUGUCCAAGAAAAUAUUCAAUUAACUUUUUUUUUGUUUUUCAAAUUAUUACAAUUUACACGUAUAUUGUCAACCGGAUUCUGUUACAGUCCCCUUUCUCUCUAUACACACACAUUUUUCAGUACAGUUCAAAAAUCUAUUAUACAUUAAUUUAAAAAUUCUCUCUCACUAAUAUUUAGAUAGAUAUCUUCUUUUAGUCGAAGGUUAACAGUGAGCCUUCUAAAACUCGAACUCAUACUUUUAUAUGAUUAUAUCACUAGUUACAAGUUCAGUGGCAAAAGAGUCAAUUAAUUAAUUAAUUGAUGAUCAAUCCUUAACUUUUGAUAAAUCUUAACCAUUCAUUAUAAUUAAGCUUAGAUCAUGAGCAUUAAUUAGCUUCGUUGUUUAAUUUCUCCUUUCGGUUGGUGGCAUUUAGUGAUGUCUGGUUCUGUCUGGCUCAAUGCAUCAAAGGUGAUUGAACUUCGUAGAUCACGCUCCAUGCCGGGGACAGAGAAGAGCAUGGCACUUGUUUAUCUCAAAAGAGUUAACAUCACGGGCAACCGGCACACACUAGCAUCAGAAAAUGCUUUUGGAAUUCUCAAAAAGGACUGCUUGCAAGAGGCUUUCAUUUUUAUCUUUAAUGUUUUUUUCCAUCGACUCUACAGAAGAAUUUGCGCUUUCACUUGACAUCAGACAUCGGGAGUUGCUGUGAUAUCUUAGCAAAGGCUUUGACCCUCACAAUAAGAAUAUGAAAAGGAUUGGAUCUCCAUGGUGUAUAGAAUGUGCCAGCUAAAGCAUUCUCCUUUGACACCAGUACCGACUAACAAAGUUUUUUAGGUUCUGAAUCAGAGGCUCAGUGGUUGAAUAUCAUAUUUUCAGAGACUGAAACUCACUCAUAAGAAAUGCAUUUGAUGUUUUCUUCAUAAAGCAUAUCCAUUCGCAUGUGCCUGCAAGUCAAACUCGCAUAAAUUGUCUGGAAUAAUGAGAUAUGAAUACAUAAACAAUCUUUCAUUUUCUUAAUUACACUUGAGAGAGUAAUUUGAGUCAUAGGAGUUAGCGCUGUACUUUCCUUAAUCUGUCACAACAAUCUUUUCCAUGCAGAGCAGGAUUGAUUGAGUUUUGACCAACUCCAAAGCUCAACUUUUCUUUGCAGCGUCACAAACUUGAUGGUGCCGCCCAUGUUCCUGACUCAAUAUUACAAUUGAAAACAAAGUCUUCAUGUCACUCGCAUUUACAUACUCUUGAUAGUCUUCUUGCCCACCUUCAGGUUUACCAAUAACAAUAACAAUAAUAAUCGGAAGUUGAACUUGAAAAUGUCUUAAAUAAAAUAAAUCGAAUAUGAUCUUCUGUAUGACAAAUUCACAGGAAGCAUUACACAAAAGGUUUUCAAUGCGUUGGCAACAAAAUUAAACAAAAAAAAAUGUUUCAUGUAGAGAAGAUUAUAAUCCAUUCCUUCAAUAACUUGAAAGGAUAGACAGGCAUUAAUUGUCUCCUCAUGAACAGAGGCGCCAAAAAUUAACAGAAAUUAUCUUCACAUUCUGCAUGUUGACCCAUAAUUUCUAAUAAAAAGAAAUAUGUAUAUGGUUGAAGUGGUAUCAUAGGUCAUGGAUUAAAUGCUGUAGGACUGUCUAUAUAAAGGUAGAACAUUUUAAAGGAUGAAUGAUGAAAGCUAUCUAGAGCUGGUCCAUCACAACUAAAUUGGCAGUGGGGCUGGACCUCAAGAUAAGCAAAACCAAGUCCAUUUUAAGCUCAAACCUUAAUUUCUGCACAGAGGUAGCUUUCCAGAUAAAUGUUUCUAAACAUUUUCCUCUUUCUAUUUUCCAGAUAAAGAUGGUAAAAAUUACCAAUUUUUUUCUGUAGGCCUUUUUCUCUUUUGCAAAACUUUUAUGUUUC